AUUGGGGAAAAAAAUAACCAUUUUGGCUGUAAACCAUUUUGUCCUAAUUUUCCCUAUAAACCAAAGUUUCAUUCCCUCAUAUUCUAAUCUGCAAAAAGAUUAGCUUUUACUUUCCUCCUUCCUUUUUACGUGAGAAAAUCUUAGCUGGUUCAGUUUCAAAUUUUCAAAUUUGAAACUUGAGGAGCCGUGUUUCAGUCUGCACUGUAAUGCUUCUGAGUAAGAUUCUCUGGCUAUAUCCAUCAGAGCUUUGAGCAUUUGGGAGUUUGUUUGUAGCUAAAAGAAGCAUGGAAGGCACUAAGGGUGAAGAAGGAUCCAUUACAGUAGGAACCACUGGAACAAUCAGCUUAUUGAUGACAAAGGAAUUGGAUCAGAUGUCUGGUGUUCCACAGCAGGAUCUAUCUUCAACAAGUAAACCUCGAAUUUCAGUUUCAAGUGGUAGUGCUACGCCGAAACGACCACAACCAAGAAAAUCAUUUGAAGCUAGUAGUAGUAGUAGUAGUAAUGUUACAAACCAGAUAAGCUCAGGGAUUGGCCCUAAAACAAAACAUAAUGGCAAACAUACCCAUCAAAUACCCAUGCUUGGUUCCCACACCCUUCCAUUGGAAGCAAGUCCAGUUAUGAAGAAAAAGGAUAAGAAGAAAAAAUCUAAAUUUGUGGAGGUUGUAGACAUCAAGUGUGGUUAUGCAGAUAAAGCUUGGGCUACACCUAUCACAAAUUCUCUCAAGAAGUUGGGUUUCUCAAAGCUCUCUGAGAGCAUUACCUAAAACUGGAACUGUAUGUCAGACUUCAGGUUCUUGUAGCUGAAAGCAGAAAUUACAUUUGGCUUACUGUUGUCUAUUACAUCGACCAUAGAACACAUGCUUGGCAAGAGCUUGCUACUUCCUCGCUUUUUCUUUCUUGUUUCUACUCUGGAUACAGUUGAGGGUCUGGAAUCAGUGCUAACUGAGGAACCCAUGUUGAUGGUUUGAGAUUUGUUGUUCUGUGACCAGCCAUUGGAGUUUAGUUCAAGCCGGCUAAAGUACUCAAUUUCUUGCAUUAGAAGGGACCCAACUGUGCCUCUGGUGCCUAUUUCUACAGGUGGAAAUUCAGCCAUUUCUUUUAUGUGUUGCUUCUGGCAAGGAUGGUGGGUGUCUGUAUGCUUUAUGUUGUUGGUGUCAAGGAGAAAGAAAAAAUGGGAUUGAAGAGGAGUGGUUUGUUGUAUGUUUGAUGAACUUUUCCACAAGCUGAGGCAUUUUCUUUAGUUUCACAGAAGCUCUCCACUCCACCAUGUACUAUUUAUAUGAAGUGCAUGCCAUGUAUUAUGUUUAUGGUUGUAGAAUUAGUUGUUGACAUGACAUUGUCAUUCCAUUCAUGUGUGUGCAGGAAAAAGUAUUAUCCUUGUAACUUUAUGUUUAAUUAUGUCUAGCAACAUCCCAAUAACAAGCUCAUUAUUUGAGACUAUGGUCAGUGUAAUUUGGAACAGAUUAAUUCAUGUGACAGAAGAAAUUGGACCAUCACUUUCUUUGA
Vigna unguiculata (cowpea) is the source of this 1506-nucleotide long non-coding RNA. Lineage: Eukaryota; Viridiplantae; Streptophyta; Magnoliopsida; Fabales; Fabaceae. The record is from RefSeq and is a predicted model, not a curated record.